UCUCUUGUAGCUCAGUUGGUUAGAGCGCUGCACCGGAAUCGCAGGGCCGUAGCUUCAAUCCCUACCAGAGGAC
This 73-nucleotide transfer RNA is filed under the name Paramuricea clavata. It matches the Rfam family "tRNA". From Rfam's summary of the family: Transfer RNA (tRNA) molecules are approximately 80 nucleotides in length. The record is from Rfam by way of RNAcentral. Lineage: Eukaryota; Metazoa; Cnidaria; Anthozoa; Malacalcyonacea; Plexauridae.